RNAcentral lists this transfer RNA (93 nucleotides) under Alphaproteobacteria bacterium. RNAcentral describes it as "tRNA-Ser". Lineage: Bacteria; Pseudomonadati; Pseudomonadota; Alphaproteobacteria. The record is from RNAcentral. RNAcentral also lists the same sequence under 1 other name.
GCCGCGCUUCGCGCGGACCCGUUGGCGCGGCUCCUCAGGAUGAGGAGAGAGGUUGGUGCCGGGCCUCGCGGGUGCGAACCUCGCGUCCGCCGC